GGCUGGGCUGGGCUGGGGGCUUGGCGGGGAGGGGAGGACUGGAGCUGGCUCCGCACGCCCGCUUGCCUGCGGGGUUAUCAAAGCAAGGACCCGGCUUGCAGGUGGUGAGCCGGGGGGCGAGGGGGUUGCAAAGGGCCACAUCUGCCUGCACCGUUGAGCAAGGAAAGACAGCUGCUGGGGUGGGAAUAGCCUCCUCUUGCAGUGGGAUUCAUUGCAUGUCGCACCAAUACACACCUCCCCUCUCUGGCAGUGAGGGGCUGGGAAGAGCACAGAGAAGUCCUUGGAGGUCGUUUUCUUCCUUGACACAUGCCAUCAGCCUGCUGUAGACCCCAGGCGGCCGGCUUUCUGCUGGCAAAACUGGCCAGCAGAGCUUCACAACCAGAAAUGCAGCGCGAGGCCUUUCUGUGGUUAAACCAUGUCAGUGGGAAUGAGUUCUUGGAAGCAGUCUGUCACAUCACCUGUCUUCCAGCCAGGGAAAGGCGGGGGGGAACUGGCGCUGGAGCGCUUCUGUAAGUGGACUAUCUCUGUUGGUUCUUUUACCUGGAAAAAAUAACUUCCUGAUCCAGAUCCAAGAAGGACUUAGACACCUAGAAGAGGACAUAGAAGACUUUAGAUGCCUUAGAUGCCUAUGUCCAAAAUGCAAUCCAAAAGAACCCCUGCUCUUCGUAGCUGCCUAAUCUUGGAGAUAUUUAAACUCAGAGAGCAUUCUUCACUCUUACUGCUGAAUUAGGACCUCAAAACUUGUGCUAAGGAGAAGUGCGGAGUGAUGUACCAUUUGAUGAGUGUGUGCUAGUGGCUGUGGCCAUUAAAGAUCUUGAGCACGUCCACACGAGCGUGCAUGUGCAUCUUGCCCCGCCUCAAACCCCUUUGAGGCGGGGCAACAGGCACAUGCAGGAACAAAAAAAUGUUCCCUUGCUGCAAACUUGCAGCACAGGGAGAAAAUUAGA
Molecule: long non-coding RNA, 947 nt
Organism: Alligator sinensis (Chinese alligator)
Lineage: Eukaryota; Metazoa; Chordata; Crocodylia; Alligatoridae
Exons: 3
Source: RefSeq, a predicted model, not a curated record